RNAcentral lists this ribosomal RNA (119 nucleotides) under Helianthus annuus (common sunflower). The record is from RNAcentral. Lineage: Eukaryota; Viridiplantae; Streptophyta; Magnoliopsida; Asterales; Asteraceae.
GGUUGCGAUCAUACCAGCACUAAAGCACCGGAUCCCAUCAGAACUCCGCAGUUAAGCGUGCUUGGGCGAGAGUAGUACUAGGAUGGGUGACCCCCUGGGAAGUCCUCGUGUUGCAACCC